AGCUUUGCGCAAUGGCAGUAUCGUAGCCAAUGAGGUUUAUCCGAGGCGCGAUUAUUGCUAAUUAAAAAAUGCAGGGAUGCUAGUGACCACUGGAUGUGCCAUCCUGGUAAUUUUAAAGGAAAAACCCAUGUA
This 132-nucleotide small nuclear RNA is filed under the name Zalophus californianus (California sea lion). Its description in RNAcentral is "U4 spliceosomal RNA (ENSZCAG00015007599.1)". It matches the Rfam family "U4 spliceosomal RNA". From Rfam's summary of the family: U4 small nuclear RNA (U4 snRNA) is a component of the major U2-dependent spliceosome. The structure of U4 snRNA from yeast and human has been reported. The record is from RNAcentral. Lineage: Eukaryota; Metazoa; Chordata; Mammalia; Carnivora; Otariidae.